RNAcentral lists this ribosomal RNA (49 nucleotides) under Purpureomyces khaoyaiensis. RNAcentral's name for it is "partial 28S ribosomal RNA". The record is from RNAcentral. Lineage: Eukaryota; Fungi; Ascomycota; Sordariomycetes; Hypocreales; Clavicipitaceae.
GACCUCGAAUUCAGGUAGGACUACCCGCUGAACUUAAGCAUAUCAAAAG